Molecule: unclassified non-coding RNA, 653 nt
Filed under: Athalia rosae (coleseed sawfly)
Lineage: Eukaryota; Metazoa; Arthropoda; Insecta; Hymenoptera; Athaliidae
Description: misc RNA ENSAEAG00005010250.1
Source: RNAcentral
AGACCAGGAACAAUGCAGCGAUCGUUUGGCAAUCGGAAUCAGUCGGAGGGUAGAGCGCGAGCUGUUCGGAGCUUGAGACUGAUUUUCGGAAAGUUCAACCCUGUCGCAUGACGUUGACGGCUAUCGUUGCUCUCAACGAUACAAUAUGACCCGAAAUUGCCACGGGGUACGUGAAGGUCCUGGAAAAUGGCAUCUGUUACCGAUCGAAUGGUGAACUUAUCCUUUUCAUACGUUAAUGCGUCAUGGUGUACACUGCAAUUUCUGUGCCGAAGUGUGGAGGGGUAUGCGGUGCACGAGGCUUGCAGGCUUUUGAAAUCCUUAAUGUUCUGCGAUGGCUCUGUGCGAGUUCAAUUUCAUCUAAUUUACCGGUUACGUCAUAAUUUCGGAUCAAGUUGAGCUGCGGUUCGUUCUACGCCCUCCGCGUCUACAGCAGCAGCCGCCCCUGAUCGUGGGAAUAUGAAGGAAUCUAGCCAAUUCAGCUCAUUGUCAGUGAACUAGCGGCUAUCGCUACAACCGAAUAAUUUUGUCCGAUUCUUGUUGAGUUUACAGGUGAUUCAGGGUUAAUAUCCGUAUUUCGGUUUUGCCACGCGACGCACGGUCGUUGCUGGAUAUACAAAUUUUGGUCAGAAGCUGUGGGUGGCUAAAAGGAGAUG